UUAGUAUGUAUGCUUUGUGAAAGGAACUUGAUCUCUCAUUGGUCCUGGAGACAACAGCACCUGGAAUUGAACCUGGCACAUAAAGGUAAUGAGUAAAUAUUUUCUGAAUGAAAAAAAAAAAAAAUGGGCAGAGGAAGAAACAGUACUCAGUAGGUCAGAGAAGAGUUGGAAAUGUUGUCCAAAGUUCUGGACUCUCUAGUCCAACCUGAUGCUGUAAUAAAUGAUGCUUUCUUCAGAAUCAUUGCAACCCUUGGGAUAUGGCCAAUGCAGUAUCUUGCAGUGAAUGGUCAAAAAUGCCCUUUAUUGAUUUAAAAAUGGAUAAAGGAAAGACCCUGGAAGUAUUUAAUUAAACCUUUCUUGGGAGAGAACAAAAGGACAGGGGCUGUAUCUCCAGCGUUAUCUUGAGACUGGAGACUUGGCGAGUUUGAAAUGUUCUUACAAUAGCUUGGCCACACUUCUGUCCUAGGAAGGUCUGUGCCCUGUGGAGGGAGUAAGAUACUUUAUUAAGGUAUAAUAAUAAUAAUAUAGGUAUAUAAUAUAACGAUAAUCAUAUAGGUAUGAUAAUAAUUAAGAAUAUCUACCACCUGCCGGUCAGCUAACCUGUUUUCCCUUUGCCAUCUCUGCUCACCAGAUACUUUUUUGGGGUAUACAGAUAUAUAUAAUUAACAUUCAAAAGUAUAAAUUCAUAUUUAGAAUAGAUAAAAAUUGGGGUUCAUUCAUAUAGCUUUGCCUUAUUCUCUUAGAUCUGGAUGCUUCUUCUGAUAGCUUUAGCAACCCAGUAUGUUUAAAACAUCGUUCAACUGCUUGGAAAGUUAUUGCUCAGUUCUUUUAAAAAGUGAUAUGAGUGCUAUGUGGACCAGUCAUCACUUUCUCAACAACCGGAUUCCUUAUAUGGUAUCGUCCUUGGGGACACCUUACCACGGGUUAUCUGGGCAGCUCCAUUUACCUUUGCCUUGGGAGUAUUAAUGCACAAGACUUGUGCUCACUUCUUUGCCUCAGGGCCUAAAGUUUCAUGGAAUGGAACUUUCUGAAUUAAACAUGAAGGUGGAGGUACGUAGUUAAACAACAACAACAAACCUUUUGUUAACAUCCAAGACCGAAUGCCAGCAGUCAGACUGGCAGGUUUCGGUAGCAUCUUCCUGCUUGGUAGCCUGGUUAAAUAAAGAGUUGUAAGAUUGUGUGCUUUCUUUGCUUUUGGGGGGCUACUUGGUGGUCUUGAAGAAUCCGCUCUGACCCAGGAUGUACAGUCCCUUCGUUUAGGGUCAGCCUGCCGCUAGCAUUAUGUUUCAGCUGUCUUGAAGUGAGAUCUGUCAGCUGCUUCUGUUACAGUUAGAGUGUAUGAAUUCAUUCUCUUUUUUUCUUUAAGUUUUAAUUCCAGUAUAGCUGACAUAUAGUGUGACAUUUGUUUCAAGUGUACAAUAUAGUGAUUCAGCUAUUCUAUACAUUACUCAGUGCUCGUCAUGAUAAAUGUACUCGGAAUCCCGUCACCUUUUUCACCCAUCCCCCCACCCACCUCCCCUCUGGUAACCAUUAGUUCGUUCUCUUCAGUUAAGAGUCUUGGUUUGUCUCUCUCUCUUUUUCCUUUGCUCGUUUGUUUCGCUUCUUGAAUUCACAUAUGAGUGAUAGCAUAUAGUAUUUGUCUUUCUCUGACUGGCUUAUUUCACUUCACGUUAUACUCUCCAGCUCCAUCCAUGUUGCUGCAAAUGGCGAGAUUUCAUUCUUUUUUAUGGCUGAAUGUGAAUUCAUUCUUCAGAAUACGUCCAAACAUCCUUUGGUACGUUUUAGCCUUGAAAAGAGUUUUUCCAACCAAACAUUCAGAGCCCAGACCCUCAAGGUCCCAGAGAUCCCAUCUAUUUAGCCCUCAGUCAUCUGGGGAAGCAGGAGGUCAAAUAUGCCAGAGUGAGUCCCGGCCAUCUUCAGUCUUCUGCCUACUGACUGACCCAUGUGGCUAGUUCUCUGCUUUAUAUCCCCAUAACUCACUUUUUGAGAACCGAUUGACAGACAUCUGCCCUUUCUGUCAUAUAAGUAGCAACUCCGCCCAUGCUACUUGGAAAGUUCCUAGAAUCUUCCCCGCUCCAUCGUGGCAGCUCCAUCAUCAGACUGUGAGGAUGCCCAAGAUGAAUUUGCAUUUCAGUUAGUUUCAGAUGGUGCUCACCUGUGCUUUCUCGUACUCAGACCUAGCUGGUGCUUUAAGGGCCAGGAUGAGGUUGCUUUGUGUUUCUGUCAGGCCAGAUAGAGAUUUUCAGACUUCUUUGUCCAAGGUUGACCAGUUUAGAAGUUAUCCGUAUGUGUGGUCUUGUUUUGGUUCUUUCAUUCUUGUUCUAAUGCCUCUUCCUUACCAGGAUUGCGGAGUCUGAGACUGCUCAUUGAUUGGGGUGUUACUCAGUGGCCCAGCCAUGGAUGGGUUAUGGGUACAUCUGCAAUUACUCUGGCUUCUGAUUCUGAACUGGUGUUUGGCUGCAGACAGGCUUCUGUGCUUAAGGAAUGUCCUGGGGAAGAAUAUGGAAGACACAGGACUGAGCCCGGUAACUAAUUCUGAGAAGAAAACUGCAGAGUCACCAGAAUACCUUGGACCACCCACAAGUGGAACAUUGAUAGAUGGCUAAUCUAAUUUUCCUUGGACUUGUCCAUGCUGCCCAGAACCUGCUGCCAUUUAUCAGACAUAGGACUUCACUGCUGCAGAGUCAUCCCGAAUCUCUUUCACUGGCCAUCUGACAGAAGGAAAAUCCUUUCUGCCCUUGAGGGCAGGGACUAUAUUUUACACUUUUCUGCAUACUCUGCAAUACUUAACAAUGAUUUACACAUAGUAGGAGUUCAUUUCAUUCUGUGGAACUCCCUGAAGGCCAUCCGUUUCAGGGUUUAGCUGGGCUUAUGAAGGACAAGAGAGUCAUUUCCUGAGGUGACGUAUGUGAAAGGGCCCCAAAACACAAAGUGACAGAACAAGAAUAAUAAACUGCUGGUCACAGUCCUUUGAACACACCGCCCAUGUCCUUUUUGCUGUUCUUGUCCACACCAGUUUGUCCCUCCUUUCCACUUGUGUGCUACCCAGCAUCCAAACUCAAGCCGGAUUUCUCCCCGGGGACCCUCCCCAAACCAGGGAACUGCAAUCCCUCCCUCAGUUUCUGACACUUAACUAGUUGGCAUCCACUGACAGAGCAUAUGCUACUAUGGCUUGUCGUAUCUUUAGGUCUUGCUUCCUCAAGGAGACUUGUGAGCCUCCAAUGGCAAGGACCUGCUUCCUGUAAUCCCAGCCUCAGGACUUGGCACAUGGCUGACCGUAGAGAUUGGUUAUCGAGGAUGAUGAAGACGAGGGGUAAACCAGACAUAUCUGCUGCAGUGACUUCUCCCCAGCUUGUCAUUUUGUUUUCUUUUUGCUCAAUCUCCUUCCUUACAGUAGGUGCUCAAUAAGUGUCAGUUCCUCCCCAUCUCUCCUUUUGUCCUCCUCCUCUUCCCUGCAUUGUUGUCUGACCUUCAGUCUGCUCAGAUGCUGCUUGGUCUGCCUUGUGGCCAGAACCCAUCUGAUUCCUGUCCCCCUCUGCCCAAGGGACUCCCCGUCCUCCUGCAUAGGGCUGGAUGUUAAAGGCUCUUUCCACAAAAACCUAGCUGUAAGAAACAGAUUCUCAAGUGUCUGCUCACUCCCAACCUCUCCAUUUUCCCCUCCUUUUCCUCUCUCCUGGAUUGACACUCUACUGUCCACAUCACUCUUCAACCAAAAGAUAUUCAGAUGCUGUGUCUUGAUGAGACCACUUCAGAAAAGAUUCUUUGUAUGCUAGCUCAUGUUGGGGAAGACCCUGUCAUGGCACUUGGCACCUUAGACGGAGAGAGAGGUCCAGAACGUUGUUCUGUUGUAAUGAGAGGACAGAAUGCUGGUGCAACCUUCUAAUAACAUUGUGAUUUAUAAUAAAUAUAUAUUUGGUCUUUGCCCCCUGGUCCUGGCACAGAGCUCCUAAAACCCUUGGAAUUUCCUGUGAAGAGAGCAAUUUAAGGUGUCUUCUGUUAGGUGACUUUUGGGGGUGCCUGGGUGGCUCAGUUGGUUAAGCAUCUGGUUCUUGGUUUGGGCUCAGGUCAUGAUCUCACAGUUUUUGAGUUCGAGCCCCGUGUUGGGCUCCAUGCUGACAGCACAGAGUCUGCUUAGAAUUCUGUCUCUCCCUCUCUCCGCCCCUCCCUCCUCUCAAAAUAAAUAAAUAAACUUAAAAAAAAAAAGGUGAUUUUUGGAUGCACCUAAGGAUGAGGGCUGGUGGCCAGAACAACCAACCAUGUGAUUAGAGGCUGGAGAUUGAGUUCAGCCGCCAGUGGCCAAUGAUUUAGUCACUUGGGCCUACGUAAUGAAGCAUCCAUAAAAACCCAAAAUGAUGGGUUUUGGAGAGCUUCCAGGUUGGUGAACACGUGGAGAUUAGGGGCGAGUAGAACACUUGGAGCGGGCAUGGAAACUCCACAUCCUUUCCCCAUACCAUGUCCUAUGCAUUUCUCCUGUCUGGCGAUUCCUGAGUUCUAUCCUUUUAUAAUAAGCUGGCAAUCUAGUGAGUAAAAUGUAAGUUCUAUGAGCCAGUCUAGCAAAUUAAUCAAACCCAAGGUGAGGGGGGUGCUUGCUGGAACCUCUGAUCUUAUAGCUAGUUGGUCGGAAGCACAGGUGACAACCUGGGCUUGUGACCAGCAUCUAAAGGGGGCGGAGGUGGGAGGCAGUCUUGUAGAACUGAGCCCUUUAACCUGUGGAAUCUGACGUUAUCUCCAGGUAGAUGGUGUCAGAAUUGAAUUGCAGGACGACUGAACCGGUGUCGGAGAAUCGCGUAGUCUGGGGAAAUCCACACGUUGGACUUGGGUGCAGAAUUGUAGUUGGUGUCAGAAUUGUAGACAGUAACUUUUAAAAGCGUCCCAACAAACGUAACUGCUCCAGUAACCCAGUGGCCAUCAGUUGCCAAGUAUGUGAGGUUGUCUAGCCCUCAUAACACACCACCGGCUCUGCAGCAGGGUUCUGGGGAGCAGAGCAGGCCUGUGUUCCCUCAGAGUUGAGUAACGCCACCCAGAAAUGAAGAACAACGUAGCGGCGGAGUGCUUUGGCUCCUACCAGGCCGGUGAUGUCCACUGGAAGUCUGAAAGCAGCCUCCCUCGCUUAAUCAGACCCCAGGCAAACCACAGGCCCACGAUGGUGUCACUUAAGCCAGGUCACCAAACCCGGGCUUAAUGCCUAACCUAAGUGCAGUUUCCGUCUCCCCCAGAAAUGUGAAUCUUAGCCUGUCAAUCAGGGAUUUUCUGAUAAGCACUACAUGGGCCCUCUCCAUCCCCCAAAGAAAAAUGAUGAGCCCACCUAAUUAGACCCCCUGCCCUUAUACCUUAGGGGAGGUGACUUUGCCUUUCUUUUCCUUUCUUUUCUUCUGCUAAUAAAUUUCUUGCUCCACACUCCUUCCUAUAAAAACCUUCCAUUUUGUACGUCAUCACAGCAGCUCCCCUCUACCAGCAUCCCCAGCUAGAUGGGAGCUGUGCUAUUCGUGAAUUGCUUAAUUAAGUCCAUUAGAUCUUCAGAUUUACUCAGUUGAAUUUUGUGUUUUGACAGUGUCGUAGUGGAGUGUGGGCAAAGCAAGACUGGGGCUUGCCCAUCAACCUCAGCCACCCCCCCUCACUCAUGGGAGAGGGCAGCCGAGACUCGAGACUUGAGGGGCUUUUCCUUGAUGGGAGAAAGAACACAAAAGAGAACAUCUUCCUUCUAUUUCGCCUCCCGACCCUUCCCAGAGGCAGAGCGGGGGCGGCCUGGUGGUUGGAGAAGCUUGCCUGAGGGCAGGUGGUCCGGCUGUGACAGGUGGAGAGCAGCAUCAGGACCCGCUGUCCCCACACCCCCACCCCCAUGCGGGCUGGGUUGGAGUGCCACUCCUCCCNNNNNNNNNNNNNNNNNNNNNNNNNNNNNNNCCGUCUCACAGCUGGUACAACUGGAUGCCCCUCCUAAGAUCCCCUGGCCACCUGAGCUGGGACCAGAGCAGGACUCCAACCUGGCCCCAAGUUAUCUCUGGGGCCUAUUUAAGGAGCUGUCUUGUAUUUGAAAACACUUUUUGCCAGGUACAUCGAACAUUUUUAGGAUAAAAAACGGUUUGUCUUUUUCAAAUUACGUGGUAAGAAAGGGAAGGACAUUUUUAUUCUCACAUGUUCUUUGGAUGGCAGCAAAACCUUUUAAAACCUCAUUCAUGGAAUCAAUAAUGCCAAGUUUUCAUGAUAAAUUAUUAACUUAAACGUUGAGUCCUUUGCUUUACCACCUCCGUUCCCCUCCAGGGCAAAAGAAAGGAGUCAUCACUGAUUUUUGUUGUUGUUUCUCUCCCUCUGCCUCUCCCUGUCUCUCCCUCUCCAAUGCUACCAGAGGCCAAAUGUACUCAUAUACAUCAAAAUAGGUGAAGAGAGUUGGAGCAGUGAAUACAUUUACUUUAUGAUUUCCUCCUUACCCUGGCUUUGCAUUUCUGUAAGGGUGGAUUGGCCCUACUCGGUUUUAUAACAGCCUUUCCUGGAAUUCUGCAGAUAUUUUCAUUGCCCUGGAGGUCAGAUAAUGGCUAUUUUCCAUAGUCAUGAAAAUCUCUGGGGUAGUCAUGAAAAUCUCUGGGGUGAGCGGGGCGGGCACUUAACGAGGACUAUUAAAGGGAUGUUAAGCUUGAAGAGGCUGCUCAGGAAAUCACACACCCUUGCUCCCCGUCUGCCGGGCUCUCCUGCCCUGUGGCCAGCUGUGUGUGGAUGUGGCUGGCGAAGGGGAAGAACCCUUUACCUCCUGUUCUCUUACUCUCCGCAAGACGAUAGGUGCCCUAAACUCAAUCAAGUACAGUGGUUCAGAAAAUAGCAGCUGACAAUUCCUGAGCACUCAGUCGGGCGUCUGCUAAGGAUCAUCUCAUUCAGCAAAUGCGUAUCCCAUCCCUUUCCCCACACCCAGGGCCCAGAUGAAGACAGAAGGGAAAUCUGUGUAGGUAGACAGGAGGUCCCUUUGCCGCCUGCUUGCACACCUUCUGGAACAGGAGACUCCCCACCUGCACCAAGCACCCCAUGCGUUUCCAUAUAGUUCAGAAUAUACAUCCUGGACCUAGGCUAAUUAGCUGAACCUGUCCCCUCUGUGCACCUGGAACACCAAUAGAUCCCUCAGUGGCGCCACUGACAGUCUCUGGGCCUGUCCUCUCUGCUGGGGUACAGCUAUAGGAGGGUGGGGGGCAGUGUCUUUCCUUCUGUCUCACCAGCUCCCAGGGCAAAUGUAGAGAGCAGGCAUUUAAGUGAAUGCAGUGAGAGCAAUCGCCGUUGGGGGGAGGCCCCUAGUGGUGAGCCAGCGUGCCCCAAUAUUCCAGGGAACAUCAGUGUUCUUGGGGGCAGGGCCCACAUGGCUCCCAGAAACCUGCCACAGGGCCUCUGGGUUUUGACCCUCUUGGUGAGCUUUAGGCAAUGUAGGGUUUUAACAGGGGACUAGUAUCCCCUUUCCUGAAGGCAGUGAAGAAUCUGACCUGCUCCAGUGGAGUGAGGGACAAACGAAGGAAAGCCAGAGAAAGGCCAAGUCUCCUCCCAAGAGAUUCCAAGUUCCCGAGGGUAAGAAGCACCACGGGAGCCAUGCAGAGCCAAGUGUGUCCCCAGUGGUGCUGAAGGAAAGAGAGUGGGGCUGCCCCUCCCUGACGCUGGAGCGCCCCCUCCGCCCCUGUUCACAGUCCAUCUCCCCAGGAGGCUGUGGUGACACGGGAUAAAGGCCAAGGGACAAGAGGGUGACCUUGGACACAUCACUGAGACACUCCAGCCUUUGCUCAUCUGUAGAGGCUAUAAAGCCCACUUUGCAGAACUAUGUGUGUACUGACUGGAGAAGCAUUGUGAAGGGUGGGGAAGUCCUCGGUCGGGGCCAGCAGUAUCUGGGGUGCAUAGGAAGAAGGGGCUCCAUGAUAUCUUUUGCACCCAGUGCCCUGGGUAAAUUCACAGGAAGGAGGAGAAGGGCCGAUUGUCCUAGAAGGGUUUGCCCACUACCGGAUCACUGGCUAAUUUCUACCUCUUUCCUGCCCGGGGUGAGGGAGCCCACCCUGUCCUUCAGGGUAGGAGCACAGCACUGGCCCCACCUCUGCAGGGAGACCCAGAUGUGUGGGCGAGGCUCUGCCCCAGGGCAACCUGCCCUCCUCAGCCUUUCCUUCUUCCGCACAACACGGCAGGGAGAACAUUCUGUCUGGUUUCCAUGUUUUACCUUGGUGAGGAGCUGGCUCCUGCCACCCAGCCCAGACUUGACCUCAGCAUCUUUUCAACACAACAGUCUAGGCAAACUCAUCCGACAACUACAAUGAGUUGGCAUGUGAGGUGAAACCUUCUUGCCAAUUUUGCUAUAGGGAACAGCCUUGUUUGCCAAAAUGUAACAGUGUUAAUAACUGCUUCUUACCGAGCUCUUGUUAUAUUCCAGGCAUCUUGUUAAGGGUUUCAGGGGCAUUAGCGUCUUUAAUCCUCAUAAGGUCAGGAGGUGGAUGCUGAUUAGUGUGCUUACUUAAUGAUCAAGUGAGACCCAAGAGAGACUGCGCCUCCCUUCACUCAACGUCUAUUAAUGGAGUACCGACUUCCUGCCAGGUGCUCCUAUAGGAGCUGCUGAGGGCAGUGAACAGAAUUCAGUUCCAGCCAGCUUGGGGCUCACAUUCUAGGAUCCAAGCCCCGAUUCACCCCCGGAUGUUUGGUCUGGACCCAGGUUCUCAGCCUGCUCUGCUUCUUGGAGGAGGGACAGAGAGGAACCCAGAGGCCAGAGCUUCGGGCUGGAAGGAGUUUGCAUGGUCCUUGAGGGUUCAUGUCCAGAAAUUGUGCCUCCACCCUGAGCUUCUUUCAAAGCAUUUGCAAGCAUUAUAACCAGGAAAUUGGGGCUUCCAGGGGGAGUUGAGAAAGGGUCUAUAUUAGCUUCCUAAGGCUACCAUAGCAAAGCAUGACAAGCUGGGAGGCUUAAAAUUAUAGAAAUUUAUUGUCUCACCGUUCUGGAGAUUAGAAGUCCAAUAUCAAGGUAUUAGCAAGGUUGGUUCCUUCUGAGGACUCAGAGGGAGAAUCUGCCCUUUGGCUCUUCUAGCUUCUGACAUUUGCUGGUAAUCCCUGGCCUUGACAUUCCUAGGUAUAAGAUGUAUCACUUCAAUCUCUCCCUCGACAUUACUUGGCCACCUUCUACUUGAGUCUGGUCUUCACAUGGCAUUCUCCUCUGUGUGUGUGUGUGUGUGUGUGUGUGUGUGUGUGUCCAAAUUUCUCUCUUCUUCUAAGAACACCAGUCAUAUUGGAUUAGGCCCCAGCCUAAUGACGUUGUCACAACUUGAUUACAUCUUCAAAGACCCUAUUUCCAAAGAAAGUCACAUUCACAGGUACCAGAGGUUAGGACUUCAGUAUAUUUUUCUGGGAGAUACAGGUCAACCUCUAACAGGCAUAAUAGGACUUCUGGCCUUUUCCCCACUUCUUUUAAAACAAAAAUGUUAAUAUAGGGGUGCAUGGGUGACUCAGUUGAGCAUUCAACUCUUGAUUUCAGCUCAGGUUAUGAUCCCAGGGUUGUGGGAUUGAGCCCCGCAUCGGGCUCCACACUGAGCCUAGAGCCUGCUUGAGAUUCUCUCUCACUCUCUCUCUCUCCCUCUGCCCCUCUCCCCUGCUCGUGUGCAAGUAUGCUCUCUCUCUAAAAAAAAAAAAAAUUUUUUUAAUGUUUAUUUUUGAGAGACAGAGCAUGAGCGGGGGAGGGGCAGACGGAGAGGGAGACACAAAAUCCGAAGCAGGCUCCAGGCUCUGAGCUGUCAGCACAGAGCCCAGCGUGGGGCUCAAACCCAUGAACCAUGAGAUCAUGACCUGAGCCGAAGUUGGAUGCUUAAACCAACUGAGCCACCCAGGUGCCCAUGACUUAAAAAUCUUAAUAUAAUUCUUUUAGAUAUAAACAACACAUUCACAUGGCACAAAAUUAAAAGAUAUAGUACCUCUCUAUCCCUCCUAACCUUGGUCCUGAGGCCAGUGAGUUCCCUUGCCUGGAGGCACCCGUGUUAGAAUUUCUUGGGCGUCCUUCCAGAGAUAACUCUCUGCACUUACAAGCACCUGGGUCCAUAUGAUGGAGACCUUGGUGUUUUGCACCAGGGUUUUUUCCUUUUUGUGGCACCUCUUGGAGAUCCUUCCAUUCUUUUUCAUGACUGCAUAGCAUUUGAUUCUAUUACUGUGACAUCACAUUUAACCAGCUCCUUAUUUCCUUAUAUGGAAAUUUCACUGGCUUCCAAUCUUUCCUAUUACAAACAGCUUUAAAGAGAAAUCUUGCACACACAUCACUGCAUUAAUCGUGUUUUUUAUUUUCUGCAUUUUAUGAUGCUCUGCCCUCUUGGGACUUUGAUGGUCCUCCUAGGGUUAGCUCAUUCCUAGGGAUAGUAAACACCUUGCCUGAGAGCACUUUUCAUAUGCAAACCACCUCCUUUAUCCACCUCUCUCACACCAAGUCAGUAUUCCCCCUGCCCUAAAUCACCUGUUGGGCCAGGUACCCAACAAGGAGGGGCCUCCCCUUUAGCCCAGAGCCCACUGGAAUGAUUCAAACUGGCCAAUCCUAAAUCUGUCCACACUGGCUUGCCUUGCCUUUUCCAUGGAAAUCACAAUAAACGCUUGUGCCUACGCUUUCCCCUUGCUCCUUCAGCCUUCUGAAUGACUCUGGUUCCCUGUGUGGCACGGCAGACCCCUCUGCUUGGGAAUUGUAGGCAGUAAGCUAUUCUUGUAAAGGCAGUUGUCAUGGCAACAUAUGAGGCGAUAGGUGCGUGAACUAACCUUAUUAUGGUAAUCACUUUGCAAUCUAUAUGUGCAUCAAAUCAUCGUGCUACACACCUUACACUUACAUUAUGUUAUCUGGCAAUUAUAUAUCAAUAAAAUGAAAAAAAAAAAACAAAACAGGCAACAUCUCCAUGUCCGACAUCUUACCAUGCCUGAUUAAAACAAAUCCCAGGUGCAUGUUGGAAUAGUCAUUCUGUGGAUGUGUGCAGCCCUUGCUCUCAGUUAAGGGGGAAAUUUGAGCAAUCUUUUGCUUGGCUCCAUGGGAGCAGUGCUUUAUGUGUAAAGAGAAGAAAGAAAAGCAAUGGGAGGCAUUGGAAAAUAAUAUGUUCAUUUUUUCCCUCUGAUUAUAAAAAUAAUGCACGCUCAGUGGAGAAAAUCUGAAAAAUGCAGAAGAAAAUUUUUAAGACUUAAAACCAACCAUUCCUCAAAAAGUUAAACCUAGAAUUAUCAUAUGAUCCAGCAAUUUCACUCCUUAGGUAUAUACCCAAAAUAAUUGAAAGCGGGAACUCAAACAUUCGAGUGUGCUAAUGUUAAUGGCAACAUUACUCAUAAUAGCCUAAAGGGGAAAACAACACAAAUGUCCACAAAUGUCAUCCAAAUGGAUGAAUGGAUGAACAGCAUGUGGUAUGUAAGUUACAUAUAAUGGAAUAUUAACCAACCGUAAAAAAGGAAUGAUAUUCUGAUACAUGCCACAACAUGGAUGGAUCUUGGAAAUACUAUGCCAACUGUCAUGAUCUGUUCAGGUUGCUGUAACAAAAUACCAUCGUAUGGGUGGCUUAUAAACAACAGAAACUUAUUUCUCGUGGCUCUGGAAGCUGGAAGUCCAAGACCAUGGCAUCUGCAGAUUCUAUGUCUGGUGAGAGCCUGCUUUCUCACUGAUGGUCAUCAUGUCACUGUCACUUCACGUGGCAGAAGGGGUGAUGAUACUCUCUGGGGUCUCUUUUAUAAGAACACUAAUCCUGUUCAUGAGGGCUCCACUCUCUUCCCAAGGCCGCACCUCCAAAUGCCAUCACCUUGGGAUUGGGAUUUCAAUAUAUGAAUGGCGAGGGGGGCGGGCAAUAAACAUUCAGUCCAUGGCGAUAAGUGAAAUAAGCCACAAAAGAAGAAUAUUUGUAUAAUUUCACUUACAUAAGGUACCUAGAACAGGCAAACUCAUAGAGACAGAAGUUGGAAUAGAGGUGACCAGGGACUGGGGGAAGGAGGAAUGGGGAGCUUUUGUUUAAGGAGUAUAGAGUUUCAGCAUGUGGAUGAUGAAAAAGUUCUGGAAAUGGAUGAAAGUGAUGAUUGCAUGGCAUUGUAAAUGUACUUAAUGCCACUGAAUUAUACACUUAGAAGUGGUUAAAAUGGCAAAUUGUAUGUUACAUAUAUUUCGUGCAAUAAAAAAACUAAAACCAUCUAUAAAUCAUGCUGUUUAGGAGAAAAGAUACUCUGUUUCAUUUCAAUCUCCCGUUGUCCCCUGCAGGUGUGUGUUUUGUAACAUACAUAUAAUAGUGAGCUUUUUAGUUUUACAUUUUUAUUAUAAAUACAUCCAUGUCAUUAAAUAAGUUGAAAUCACCUCCUUUAAUGGUUAUAUAAUUUAACAUUACACGCUGUGCAAUGAUUCCCCUCUUGUUGGAUAUUGAGGCUGUUUCUAAUUUAUCAUUAUUAUAAAUUGUGCGGUGAUGAACAUUUUUGUAGAUUAAUAUUUGGCUAAAUUUUACUUGCUUCUUGAAGAUAGAUUUUUAGAAGGAGAAUCACUUGGUCCAAGGGUAUGAACUUUUGGGAUGCCUGGGUGGCUCAGAGGGUUGAGUGUCUGUCACUUGAUUUUGGCUCAGGUCCUGACCCUAGGAUUGUGGGAUCAAACCUGAUGUCAGGCUCCACACUGAGCAUGGGCUCUCUCUCUAAAAUUAAAAAAAAAAAAAAUUUUAAGGAUAUGAGUUUUUAUUUUUAUUUAUUUAAAAAAAUUUUUUUUAACGCUUAUUUAUUUUUGAGACAGAGAGAGACAGAGCAUGAACAGGGGAGGGUCAGAGAGAGGGAGACACAGAAUCUGAAAGAGGCUCCAGGCUCUGAGCUGUCAGCACAGAGCCCGACGCGGGGCUCGAACUCACGGACCGCGAGAUCAUGACCUGAGCCGAAGUCGGCCGCUUAACCGACUGAGCCACCCAGGCGCCCCAGGAUAUGAGUUUUUAAAACUUUCUAUACCCAGUAUCAGAGAUUGCAUUCUAAAAAUUUUAGAAUUUUAUGCUUUGAAUACUAGAAAUUUAUACUUUGAACGAUAUGAUGGGAGGAAGGACAAUUUUUACUAUUCUCUUACUAAGUGUACUGUCAUAUAAAAUAUUAUUAAUUUGGUUUUUUUUAAAUUUUUUUUUAAUGUUUAUUUCUGAGAGAGAGACAGAGUGUGAGCUGGGGAAGGGAAGAGAGAGAGAGACACAGAAUCCAAAGCAGGCUCCAGGCUCUGAGCUCCCUGUCAGCUCAGAGCCCGAUGCAGGGCUUGAACCCGGGAACCGGGGGAUCAUGACCUGAGCCGAGGUCAGAUGCUUAACUGACUGAGCCACCCUUAAAAUAUUUAUUAAUUUGAAAGGCAAAUUUCCACCUUUUAAUUGACGUGGCUUUGAUUAUUAAUGAAAUUAAUGAUUAUUAACAUUUUUAAUGUUCACAGUCAUGCCCAUUUUGUGAAAUGUCUGUGGGGGUUGUUCACCCAAUUUUCUACUGGGGUUUUAGAGUCUUAUACAUUAAGAAUAAUGGCCACUUGUCCUUUUGUAGCAGUUUACUCUCCCAAUUUGCUGUUCACCUUUUAGUUUUGAUAAACCUAUUUCUUAUGUAGGCUUAAGUUUUUUUAAUGUAUAAAAAGUAUUGAUUUUCCCUUUGAAUUUUUUCCGUUGCUUUUAUGCUUAUCAAGGCCUUAUUGCUUUUGAAAAAGUAUAUACAUCUUUCUCCUAUAUUUUCUUUGAAUGUUUUUAAUGGUUCUAAUUUAUACGUUUGUGUUGGUUUCCUUGGGCGGCUGUAACAAAGUACCGCCGACUGGGUGGUUUAGGACAACAGAAAUGUGUUGUCUCAAGUUCUGGAGGCCAGAAGUCUGGGGAUGGUGGACCGGGCCAUGCUUGCUCAGAAAUGCUCUUUCCUUGCUUCUUCCAGCUCCUGGUAGCCUCAAGGUGCCUUGGCUUGUGGGAGGAUAUGACUCCCAUCUCUUCUGACUUCACGUGCUAUCUUCAUAUAAGGACACCAGUCAUACUGGAUUCAGGCCCACCAUGUUCUAGCAUGACCUUAUCUUAAUUCAUUACAUAUGCAGUGACCCUGUUUCCAAAUAAAGUCACAUUCUGAGGUGCAGGGAGUUGGGAUAUAUAAUAUAUAUAAUAGAAAUCUAUUAAUAUUAUAUUAAAUAUAUUAAUAUUAUAUUAAAUUAUAUAUUAAUAUUAUAUUGAAUAUAUAAUAGAAAUAUAUACAUAAUAUAACAUAUAUAAUGUAUAAUAGAAAUGUAUAUAUUAUAUAACAUAAUAGAAAUAUAUAAAAUAUAUAUGUAUAGAAAUAUAUAAAUUAUAUAUAAUUUUAAUGUCUUAUAUUACAUUAUAAUUUUAUUUGGAUAUAAUUUUUAUUAAAAUGUGUGCAUAUAUAUAUUUAUUUAUGUAUUUCUUUAUUUAUAAAAAGUUUUUCCAAGGGAUACAAUUCAACCUAUAACAAUGCUUAAUGCUUUCAUCAACUGGAAUUUUAUUUAUUUGGAUGUGUGGUGGGAGAGAAGGUAUCAUUUUUUCCCCCCAGAUGGUUAGCCAGUUGUCUCUACACCGCUUACCAAAUAAUGCUUCCUCUUCCACCAGGAUUGUGGCAUGGACUUCAUCAGACACUAGAUCCUUGCACACUAGUUUCUGCUUGUGAGUGUGACCCACGGGGGCAUCUGCGAAUUCUUGCAUCAGGGCUAUGCUAUUUUCACAAUUUUAGCUUCAUUGUCUAUUUAAUAUCUGAUGAAGCAAAAUUCCUCCUUCGCUCAUUUUCACGUUUGUUCUUAGCCAUUCCUGCCUGUGUAUUUAUUCUGAGUAAACUUUAGAAUAACUGUGGCAUGUUUAACAAGAACAAAACAACAACCUCCUUGGACAUUUAAUUGGAUGGUGUUAAAUCAACAAGUUAACGCUAUAGCACAUUCACUCUUCCCAUUUAGAAACAUAGCGUGUCUUUCUAUCUAAUUAAUUAUAGCGUGUGUUUUAGAAAGUUCACAGAGUUUUAAGAUGUAGUUUUCCCGUUUCCCAUGUUUGCUGCUAAAGUCAAUCCUGAGCAUUUUGUUACCGUUAUUACUGUUGUAAUUAUGCUCUCUACCCCCUGCCACCCCCCCACUUUAUUUUCUAAUUGGUUGUUGCUAGUUGAUGAGGAGGCUAUUGAAUUUUGCAUGCAGCCACUUUAUUAAAUUCGCCUGUUAGUUCUAAUAGCAUUUCAAUUUAUUCUUGUAGGCUCUCUGGAGCCUUUUGCACAAACCAAUUCAAAUGAAUAAUUAACUCUCUAGCUGAAUCAAUGACCUUCCCUAAAUCAAGUCUCUUAUAAAUUUAGGAGUUUGGCUGAAGGAGAAUGAAUGCUGUGUAAGGGCGAUGUGAACAGGGGCCUUGGACAGUUCUGGUAGCCUCAAGAAUGCUUAUAUUCUGUAAUUUCCAAUUUCAGUGCUCAAAUCUGGGCUAAAGAAAAAAUUGACUAGAACUGUGGACAAAAGAAUUUAGGUAUCAAGACGUGGAUUCUGCUGUUUUUUCUUUAUAACAAUGAAAAUUGGAGACGACCUAAAUUCCUAACAUGAGUGAUCGGCUAGGUCAGUGUUUUGUCCCUUGAUCCUCUCCUUCUACCCACUCCACGUAGACCUCUCCCUCAGACUGCAGCCUCAGAAACCUUGCUGCCUGUGGGAGGCUCUGCUUCCAUUCCAGAGGCUCUCUCUAACUCUUCCUGGCCCAGUCAGAGCUCAGCCUCUUCCUUCUCUGCCUCCGUGCGCUGGCGGGACACAUCCUGACAGAGGUUUGUGUCUAGUUACAGGGAAGGAUUGGAAGCAGCAUCCCUAUGGGAGCGGGAGUGAGGGAAGAGGACCGGACCAGAGGAGAAGUUGAACCGCGGCGUAGCUACAACAGAAUCAUCAGCUGAUCCCAGGGGGAGAUCUCCAGCGGGGAUGGCCCUUCCGAGUUGUCCUGAAGAGAGGUGAGGGGGCUGGGCUCUGGUAGCCCCCCACAUCCUCCAGCCACUGGGUGGGGGCUGUGCUUUGAGAGGGUGUAACUUUGGGGGAGGACGGUUCCUGGAGAGAGACCCAGCUGUGAGCGGCCAGCACUCCCAGCAGGGAAACGAGUCCUCCAUCUGGAAUGGGAGGUGGGUGGCUUAGUGCUUCAGAGGAUCCAAAGCAGGCUCCGUGCUGACAGCAUAGAGCUCAAUGCAGGGCUGGAACUCGUGAACCACAAGAUCACGACCUGAGCGGAAGUUAGAUGCUUAACUGACUGAGCCACCCAGGCAUUCCAUGAAUUCUUUCUCUCUGCCUCACUGUCUUCUAGCUGAGGCAUUGGUCUCCUCCGGCCCUCAGACUCAGAAUAGGGAUGGAACUUCACCAUAGGUUCUCCUGGGUCCUCUUCUGAGUCUGAAGGCAGGAGAAGACAGAUGCUAGCCACGUGGGAGGAGAGAGAGGCCCUGUGGAGGAGAACCAAGAGGCUGGGCAUGUGAGUAAGACCAUGGACCUUCCCAGUCAAUGGCUCAAUGCAGCCAAGUGAAUGACCCCAGAGUGUGAAACAGAAGUAUCCAGCCCAUUUCUUUCUUUCUUUAUUUACUUACUCACUUAUUAAGUUUAUUUAUUUAUUUUUGAGAGAGAGACAGAGACAACGAGGAGGGGAGGGGCAGAGAGACCGGGAAAGAGAGAAUCCCAAGCAGGUGCCACGCUACCAGCGUGGAUCCCGAUGUGGGGCUCGAACUCACAGACUGUGAGAUCAUUGACCCGAGCUGAAACCAAGAGUCGGACGCUCAACCGACUGAGCCACCCGGGCGCCCCGUACUCAGCCCGUUUCUUAACUCACAGAAUCAUGAGAGAUAAUAAAUUGUUGUUUAAGGCCACAUUUUAAGCAGGUUUUUAAUGCAGGAAUAGAAAUAACUAAAAUACCUUCCAGCUCACUCCUUUUCCUACAUCAUCUGUUCCAGUUUGUGGCAUCAUGAUCUACCAAAUCAUCCAAGCUAGGCACCUCAAGGUUGCUGUAGACUUCUCUCUUGCCCUCACCUCUAUGCGACAUUGCCACGCUGUACCAAUUCUACCUCCUAAAUAAUUCUCGAGGCUGCCUCUCCUUGAUCUUCCCAUUGCCACCACUGCGUGAGCCAGACCUUGCUUACCCUGGACACGUGCCAUCUAGACGGGUCAUCUCAAGCUCUGUCCUUAGCUGAGGUCGCGUCCCUAACAUGCAUGUCACUCUCUCCCUUGCUUACAUCCUCACGAUGGCUCCCUAUCAGCCGCAGGAUAAAGGUUCAACUUUAUUGGAAGUACUAAGAGCUCUUCUUAAUGGGGGCCAUGCUUACUUGACCAAAUUUUCCUGUUCUUCUAACUAAACUUCACCCCUUCAGUUUUUGCCCCCCACUCGCUGUUUGUCCUUUCCACACCUUCUCUCCAGAGUGCCCACUUUUCCCUCCUUCUCCCAGCUGAUUCUCAGCUUCUUUCUGAAAGCCUUUCUCCUCUCCGCCUUCCACAUCUACCACACAUGCUGGAGACUGGGCACCCUUCCUAGGCGUUCACUGCUUCCCCCGUAUCAUUUUAAAAAAAAAAUUUUGUUUGCAAUGUUUAUUUAUUUUUGAGAGACAGAGACAGAGCAUGAACAGGGGAGGGGCAGAGAGAGAGGGAGACACAGAAUCCGAAGCAAGCUCCUGGCUCUGAGCCAUCGGCACAGGGCCCGACGUGGGGCUCAGGUUUAUGAACGGUGAGAUCAUGACCUGAGCCGAAGUCGGACACUUAACCAACUGAGCCACCCAGGCGCCCCUCCCCCGUAUCAUUAUGUGUGAUGUGUCGUCUGUUCCUUCCAGGGGACCAACCAAGUUGCUUGCUUGUUUGUUUACUUUAAUUCCAGUGUGGUUAACAUACAGCGUGGUUCUAAUUUCAGGUGUACAAUAUACCGAUUCAACACUUCCAGAUACUUCUCAGCGCUCAUCACGAGAAUUGCGUUCUUAUCCCCUUCACCUAUUUCUCCCAUCCCCCCUCCCCUCUGGUAGCCCUCUGUUUAUUUUCUAUAGUUAAGAGUCCGUUUGGGGGUUGUCUCUCUUUUUUCCCCCUUUGUUUCAGUACCUCAUUUUGAAUAAAUACGUGGGUAGAUAUAUGAUACGGCUUUUGCAUUAGUUGGGGUUCUCCAGAGAAGAGAACUAUCUAUCUAUUUUCUAUCUACCGAGAUUUAUUAUGAAGAAUUGGCUCAUUCGGUUAUGGAGGCUGAGAAGUCCCACAGUCUGCCAUCAGCAAGCUGGAGACCCAGAAAAGCCAGUGGUGUAAUUCAGUCUGAGCCCAAAGGCCUGAGAACCUGGGAGCCGAUUGUGGGAGCUGAGGGUGGGAAAUGUCUGAGGGCAGAAGAAGAUGGGGGGAGAUGCCCAGCUUCCACGUUGGGGCAGAGAAAAGGGGCGAGUUCUUCCGUCCUCUGCCCUUUGUUCGUUUCAGGCCCUCAGUGGAUUGGAUGAGGCCCACGCACUUUCGGGAGGAAAACUGGCUUUACUGAGCCCAUUAAUUCAAAUGCCAGUCUCUUCUGGAAACACCCUCACAGACGCACCCAGAAGUAAGAUGUAAUCCGGCCAACCCACGGCCCGGUCGGUCAAGCUGACACAAAAUUGAGUUAACCAUCACGUACAGCCUUUAAAACAGCAUCCCGAAGUAUUUGAAGCAUUUAGCACCGGGGCGACAGCUUAUCACCUGCUGAUAAGAGAAACAAGCCACGUGAAGGGAGACAGCAGAGAAGGCUGCAGACAGUCUGUGCAACUUUUACUCGCGCUUGCUUCGGGGUUACGGAUCAUCCGUUAUUGUUUUUACAUUUCUUUACAUUUUUCUGCAUUUGCCGUACUUUCCGCAAUGAACGGGGAUCGCUGUGAUGAGGAAAGGAAGGAAGAAAGCAAACCCCGGGGGCUCAGGCAGUACUGGAAUCUCUUCGCCGCCCAGAAGAAUCAGUUCGGGGGGGGGUGCCUCCACACCUCGGGCCGUGGCCAUGUGGCUGUCCUCUUCCUGUAGACCUUCAGCUGGACCAGCGGCCACAUCCCCCUCCUCAGUGACCCCUCAGACAGGGGAGAAUCAAGGUGCCACAGGGCAGGCGGGAAUUCUGCCUGGGACUGGGGUGCUG
Molecule: long non-coding RNA, 19001 nt
Filed under: Lynx pardinus (Iberian lynx)
Lineage: Eukaryota; Metazoa; Chordata; Mammalia; Carnivora; Felidae
Source: RNAcentral